RNAcentral lists this long non-coding RNA (679 nucleotides) under Fukomys damarensis (Damara mole-rat). Its description in RNAcentral is "lncRNA (ENSFDAG00000029376.1)". The record is from RNAcentral. Lineage: Eukaryota; Metazoa; Chordata; Mammalia; Rodentia; Bathyergidae.
AUGUCCAUCCAGAAGCCUCAGCUCCUUCUUAGGCGCUCCCUGCCCACGCGCCCUCCCUUGGCUCGUGGCCGUCCGUCGCUGCCUGGGCUGGCUCCGAAACCCCGGGCAGUCCUGGGGCAGCUCCUUCCACUUUCCCGCUGGCGAGUCAGGCAGUCCCGCGGGUUCUCCCCGUGGAGGGCGUCUCCUUUGCUUUGUCCCCACUGUCCAGCCACAGGGGACCCUUCCACCAGCUCCCCCCGCCUCUCGUCUCCCCGAUUCCUCAUCAGUUCUCACCAGCACCAUGACCAUCGCCACUGCCAACGCCAGACACAAAUACGAACUUGCGGAGACUUCAGGUGCACAGCACGGCUCUCAAAAUCUCACAAAAUUUACUCCAAUCUACUUUUCAGGGUUCAACAAGGCUAUUCAGGCCUCCUGAUGUCUUCUCAACAAGGCUUUCUUCUGACUCUGUCUCGUUUUAUACGACGCAGCUCUUGGGAUAUAAAUCUUCCGGCCAGUCUGCCGAAACAUAACUGCUGUGCGAUGGAACAUCUACCCCAGUCUCCCAGCCCACAGCCAUCUCACAGGUGCACCUGUGAUCGCAGACCAAAUCAGAAAAAUGUUCAGCACAACUAGAAAAAAAAAAUACUAGACUUACUUGGUGGUUGAUUCAAUCCACCUAGCAGGCUGUCAUGUGGAU